This 400-nucleotide ribosomal RNA is filed under the name uncultured bacterium. Its description in RNAcentral is "bacterial SSU rRNA". It matches the Rfam family "Bacterial small subunit ribosomal RNA", at positions 975 to 1375 of the family's 1533-position model. The record is from RNAcentral.
CUGGGCUCGAAAUGUUAUGGACCGGAGUAGAAAUAUUCCUUCCCCGCAAGGGGCCGUAAUAUAGGUGCUGCAUGGCUGUCGUCAGCUCGUGUCGUGAGAUGUUGGGUUAAGUCCCGCAACGAGCGCAACCCUUAUCUUCAGUUGCUACCAUUUAGUUGAGCACUCUGACGAAACCGCCUCGGAUAACGGGGAGGAAGGUGGGGAUGACGUCAAGUCCUCAUGGCCUUUAUGUCCAGGGCUACACACGUGCUACAAUGGCCGGUACAAACCGUCGCAAACCCGCGAGGGGGAGCUAAUCGGAAAAAGCCGGCCUCAGUUCGGAUUGGAGUCUGCAACUCGACUCCAUGAAGCUGGAAUCGCUAGUAAUCGCGGAUCAGAACGCCGCGGUGAAUACGUUCCC